This 446-nucleotide ribosomal RNA is filed under the name Babesia occultans. RNAcentral's name for it is "SSU rRNA". It matches the Rfam family "Eukaryotic small subunit ribosomal RNA", at positions 529 to 1038 of the family's 1831-position model. Lineage: Eukaryota; Apicomplexa; Aconoidasida; Piroplasmida; Babesiidae. The record is from RNAcentral.
ACCCUCACCAGAGUACCAAUUGGAGGGCAAGUCUGGUGCCAGCAGCCGCGGUAAUUCCAGCUCCAAUAGCGUAUAUUAAACUUGUUGCAGUUAAAAAGCUCGUAGUUGAAUUUCAGCGUUUCGCGUGUGCCUCUUUUGGCCCAUCUCGUCUCGCUUUUUUUAUUACUUUGAGAAAAUUAGAGUGUUUCAAGCAGGCUUUUGUCUUGAAUACUUGAGCAUGGAAUAAUAGAGUAGGACCUUGGUUCUAUUUUGUUGGUUUUGUUACCUUGGUAAUGGUUAAUAGGAACGGUUGGGGGCAUUCGUAUUUAACUGUCAGAGGUGAAAUUCUUAGAUUUGUUAAAGACGAACUACUGCGAAAGCAUUUGCCAAGGACGUUUCCAUUAAUCAAGAACGAAAGUUAGGGGAUCGAAGACGAUCAGAUACCGUCGUAGUCCUAACCAUAAACU